RNAcentral lists this ribosomal RNA (208 nucleotides) under uncultured bacterium. RNAcentral's name for it is "partial 16S ribosomal RNA". It matches the Rfam family "Bacterial small subunit ribosomal RNA", at positions 524 to 730 of the family's 1533-position model. The record is from RNAcentral.
UACGGAGGGGGCUAGCGUUGUUCGGAAUUACUGGGCGUAAAGCGCACGUAGGCGGCUUUGCAAGUUAGAGGUGAAAGCCCGGGGCUCAACUCCGGAAUUGCCUUUAAAACUGCAUCGCUAGAAUUGUGGAGAGGUAAGUGGAAUUCCGAGUGUAGAGGUGAAAUUCGUAGAUAUUCGGAAGAACACCAGUGGCGAAAGGCGAUUUACU